Molecule: non-coding RNA, 97 nt
Organism: Viridothelium virens
Lineage: Eukaryota; Fungi; Ascomycota; Dothideomycetes; Trypetheliales; Trypetheliaceae
Source: the annotation of a GenBank genome assembly
GGCAGCGUGACCGAGUGGUUAAGGUGACAGACUUGAAUUUCUCAUUCUAUGAUAUCUGUUGUGUUCGCACGCGUCGGUUCAAAUCCGGCCGCUGUCG